GUCUGUAUUCGCGGCUACUCGCGAAAUAUUUCCAUCAUUUUCGCGAGUGUCUUAUCUCGGAUGUUCGGGGCAACGAAAUGUCGAGAGUACGAAUCGCUCCGCGAUUUGAUAAAAUCGUGAAGGGUUUUGAAGAUCAGUGAAGCGGUCUCGUCGAACGUACAUAAGGAAGUCGACGAGAGGGGAAGAGAACUCUACGGCAAUAUCAAGCGUGGACAGAAAUAGAAAAGCGUUGAACGCUGCUAGAAAUCUCGUUGUCCGACCUGCACCAGUUUUCGAGUGGCCUGGAACCGAGAACGGGGCGCGCGUUCUCUUAUCACGUCCUCCUUCACGGAGUUUCGUAAUCCCGAUUGAUAAUCCGGUGGUCAAAAAUGACUCGCGGUGCGACGAGAUCGUCGUUGAGGAGUCGAGAUUCAUCGAGCACUUCGACGGGUCCAGAUCCCAGAGAACAAGUGAAGGACUGUUGCCGAAAAUUGGUAGCUUUCAUGUGUACGCAAGUUGGAGUCGGCGGACUUGUCGUCGGUUACGCGGUUGUCGGCGCGGUCGGUUUCAUACAAAUUGAAACCAAAGAGGAAUACCCACAUUACACGAAAGCGAAAGCUGCUAUCAAAGAAUGCGCCGAUCAUCUGUGGACGAGAACCGCCGGCGACAUGCGAAUUAAUAUCCUCAACCGUACGGCGUUUAUUCAAGAAACGGAAGCGGUCCUCGUGGAUUAUCAACGAAAACUGGUCGACAUCGUCAAAGAAGGUUACGACGGGCGGAGGGUCGAAGACGUGUGGACGUUUUCGGCGGCCCUGAUGUUCUGUCUGUCGAUAUUCACAAUGAUCGGAUACGGUAACACCGUCCCGAGAAGCACGUGGGGUAGAUGGGCAACGGUGAUGUACGCCGUUCUCGGUAUACCUUUGUACGUUCUCUACUUUAUGAAUAUGGGCAAAGUUUUGGCUCAAACGUUCCGAUGGUUGUACAGAUGGAUACACGAGUGUACCGGAAGACAGAGACCGGGAGGUCAGAGAAUAAUCGUCCCAUCAACGGCGUGCCUCUGGGUAAUUUGCGGUUACGUUUUAGCGGGGGCGAUUACAUUUGCGGAAUGGGAAAAUUGGGGGUAUCUCGACAGUAUUUACUUCUGUGUUACCUCGUUGUGCAAGAUCGGAAUAGGAGAUUUCGUACCUGGAGCUAAAGGGUUCGAGUCAAAGGACGGUAGCCAAACAAAACUCGUCAUUAAUUUCGUCUAUCUUCUGCUGGGCAUGGGACUUAUCGCUAUGUGUUACAACCUCAUGCGCGAAGACGUUAGGGAGAAGGCCAUCGAACUCAAAGUAUUCCUUGCCAGGAUCGUGGAGGACAUUAGAAUACGAUUUUUGGCCUGUUGCCACGUACCCGUAGCCGACCGCGAAUUAAACUGACCAACGAUAUCGAUUCGUUAAUCGUUCUGGUCAUCACAAGCUUCCUGAAUUCCACGAGACGUUCGUUUAUUCUCAUCGUUUCUAUCGAACUGCCGAAAUUGAACAAUGUACUUUUGUGAACUCUGAAAAGUGACGAACCGUGCCUCUGCUCGAUAAAAUACCUCGAGAGAGUAUAUUUCUCAAUCCUCUAUUCGUCAGAUCUCGCAUUUUGUAUUAACUUUCAGCAAUUACAGACUCGUCAUCGAUCACCGAAUCAACGCGAUGAUAGGUGACGUCGAGGUACUCUAUCUGGAGUUGCCUUGACCCGACGCAAGCUCACAAUCUCAUCUACUCCAAAUUACCUCAACGGAAAAAACUCAAGUUCGAGCGAAUUGGAAAUCAAGAGAAAAAUCGGAUCUGCGAUGAUAUUUCCGCAACGGAUUACUACCGUGCAAUUCAAAACAUGAUUCUUCACUCCAGUUCGAAUAAUCACUCGCGGUGGAGAAUGAAGAACGCGCGAUGGUACGUGCUCUGAAUGUCAAAUAUAACGGUGUCAAUGUCAAACUAUUAACCCAGAACGAACGAGGGAGGGAAGUACCUGCAGCUUUAAAGCGGGGACGUCCAUGCAGAGCGCAGCCCACCGCCUGAAGCAACCGUUCGAUGUAUAAUACGGUCCUCGGAACGAGUAAAUAUUUGCGAACCUGUGGGCGACGUCGCAAGCAAAAUCAUUUGUUAAAAAUUUUUCGCAACGGAUGACACCUAUGUUGCAAACUACUCGUAUAGAUUUCAGACCGUUAUUCGGCGAAGAUCUCGUUCGGAAGAUUGGAGGAGACAAAAAAAAAAAACAAUCAAAAAAAUCCGACACCAUAUUUUUAUCGUUUGAUUUAUAUCACGUGGCGGAUGGAAACGAAGGAGCUCGAUUUGUCGUCGGAUGAAUAGCGAUUUUCGGCGGUGAAUUUUGAAUUUAUUUAUUUUUAUUUUUAUCGUUAUAUCUGGCACAACGCGGCAUAUUCGACCACUCGGCUGUUGCAACGAUUAUAAACUUCUUAAAGUUCACGUACCGUGACUGUUGCAGAUAAAAUUAUCGCAAAGUGGAGGUUUUUUUGUUUUUUUUUUCUCUUUUUCUUUUCGAGUGUUGUCAUGACGGGGACCAACGUUUAAAUGAGAUCGAGGUAGCAAUUUAUAAACCUGCAGGGUAGGAGUUUACACUACUUGCACGUACGGCUCACACCAACGUUAAUGAAUAUUUCUAUGUAGAUUGCCAAUGGACGAGGCAAUUGGUCGGUCUAUACUCUAUAGUAACUUUAUAAACCGUCGGAACCGGGGUACGAGUUAAAUCCAGAGCGAGGAAGUGAUCUUCUGUAAUCUCUGUAGCGGCCAACAUUAUUUGUGGGAGUAUCAGUCGCGAACUCGUCGUCGCCCCGGUGGCAUCACAUCAUUACUUCCAUAAUAACACCUUGGCGAAGUAAUUAACGUUCAAGUUCAUUAAAAGUCUUGUAUA
Molecule: RNA transcript, 2877 nt
Organism: Athalia rosae (coleseed sawfly)
Lineage: Eukaryota; Metazoa; Arthropoda; Insecta; Hymenoptera; Athaliidae
Gene name: carbonic anhydrase 1
Exons: 3
Source: RefSeq, a predicted model, not a curated record